This 201-nucleotide ribosomal RNA is filed under the name Psychrobacillus psychrodurans. RNAcentral describes it as "partial 16S ribosomal RNA". It matches the Rfam family "Bacterial small subunit ribosomal RNA", at positions 1 to 196 of the family's 1533-position model. The record is from RNAcentral. Lineage: Bacteria; Bacillati; Bacillota; Bacilli; Caryophanales; Bacillaceae.
AUUAUGGAGAGUUUGAUCCUGGCUCAGGACGAACGCUGGCGGCAUGCCUAAUACAUGCAAGUCGAGCGAAUGAUGAAGAAGCUUGCUUCUUCUGAUUUAGCGGCGGACGGGUGAGUAACACGUGGGCAACCUGCCCUGUAGAUUGGGAUAACUCCGGGAAACCGGGGCUAAUACCGAAUAAUCCAUUUCCUCACAUGGGGA